AGAGUUUGAUCCUGGCUCAGAUUGAACGCUGGCGGCAUGCCUUACACAUGCAAGUCGAACGGCAGCGCGGGGCAACCUGGCGGCGAGUGGCGAACGGGUGAGUAAUAUAUCGGAACGUACCCUGGAGUGGGGGAUAACGUAGCGAAAGUUACGCUAAUACCGCAUACGAUCUAAGGAUGAAAGUGGGGGAUCGCAAGACCUCAUGCUCCUGGAGCGGCCGAUAUCUGAUUAGCUAGUUGGCGGGGUAAAAGCCCACCAAGGCAACGAUCAGUAGCUGGUCUGAGAGGACGACCAGCCACACUGGAACUGAGACACGGUCCAGACUCCUACGGGAGGCAGCAGUGGGGAAUUUUGGACAAUGGGCGCAAGCCUGAUCCAGCAAUGCCGCGUGAGUGAAGGAGG
RNAcentral lists this ribosomal RNA (402 nucleotides) under uncultured bacterium. RNAcentral describes it as "bacterial SSU rRNA". It matches the Rfam family "Bacterial small subunit ribosomal RNA", at positions 8 to 414 of the family's 1533-position model. The record is from RNAcentral.